ACUUUCACAAGUACACUAAUGUUAUGAAAAAGCUUGGUUGAAUUUUGUACAGAAGAGUAUUUUAUAUCUGGUUGCUGACAUUUUAAAGAGUUGACCGUCGCAGGCAAAAUUCAUUCAUCCAAAUUUCCAUGGAGAUGCGAAGGGCCAGUGUAACUUUUAGGUCUUAUAGAUGAUUGACUUGUUAAAAUACGUUAAUCCAAGGAAUCUAUGGAUUGCAGUCAUAAGCUGUAUUUUGUUAACGUCCGUGUCUAAAUGAGUUGAAAAACAUUUGUUUUAUGAAGAAAAAAAAAAAAGGUAUAAAAAUAUGUGCUGUGAUUUUGACGUU
This 325-nucleotide unclassified non-coding RNA is filed under the name Hevea brasiliensis (rubber tree). The record is from RNAcentral. Lineage: Eukaryota; Viridiplantae; Streptophyta; Magnoliopsida; Malpighiales; Euphorbiaceae.